UUAGGACUAGAUAUUUCAGAAAAGUACUUGGCAUCGUCAGCUAUAUACAGCGGUGAGGAAACGCACACACAACACAAUGGCUGGAACAAGACGUCUUCUAAGCAUGACCAGUCUGGCCGGAACCUUCCUCUCCUCUCUUUCUCCUCACGCUCCUCCGCUCCGGGAGCGGCCGUGGCCGGCGCCCUCCCGGCUCCCCGUCACUUCCAGAAGACAUCUCUUUCCUUCCGUGUUCCAAGCACAGAUGGCGUUCACAAGACGCGUGAUUUUUCUAACUCUACUGUAUCAUACGUCGGCAACCUCUUCACAUCUAGAACGCCUAGACGCAGCCAAAGCAGUGUUUUUUUUUUUUUUUCUUUAAAAAAAAAAAAAAAGGUCGAGGGGAAAGUUGAGAGCAGCUUUUUCAUAUUAUAUACACAGGCCUUCUGCGAACGGCCAGCAAAUCUUCCCAAGGGCGGCGGGCCUCUCCGGGCGCCUUCUCCCCGUCCGCGGCCGCUCACCGCUCCGCCGCCGGCGUCCCGCGGGGCUCCGCCGCUGCCGGGCCAGCUGAGGUGUCGGCCCGCAGCGACACGGCGAUCGCCCCCAGCCCAAGGCCUGAAGACGCGGCCGGGCUUGCGUCCGCAGACCCCGCCUUCUCGGGCUCUCGAGCUCCUAACGGCCUCCGCCGCGUUCGAGCGGCCGCCAUUCCGCUCGCCUGGCCACACCCGCACCAUUCAAAGGCGCAGCGUCCUUGGCGCCUCGCACAGGCUCCGCGGGGUUGAGCCGGGAGCCCCGGCCGCCGGUGGGGCCGGGUGCGGUUCGCCGCCGCUUCAAUGCCCAGGCCAGGGCGGUGGAGCAGUCGGCAGCGAGAGGCCCGGGUGUCUGCAGGGUAGAGGCCAUAGUCCGUCCCGGGGGCCCCCCAGCUUACCCGCCGGCCCUGGGCCGGAGGGAGCGGAGGGCCCCGGGGGAGCAACCCGCGUCCUUCUUCUCUCCGAGUUCUCCGCCGGAACUGACUUGGCAGUUCCCUGCGCGGGUGGGAGAGGAGCGGCACCGGAAGUGCCCUCGCGCCGGGGCCCGGGAGCACUGGUUCCGCGACAGCAACGUUCCGGCAUGGGGGCGGGGCAUAGUCACGUGAGCUCAGGACGCCCCCUCCUGGCUUGCCCUUCGCAAUGGUGGUUUUUACCGGCCUCAGAAUACUCCGAGCAUGCGUAUUUCUCAGCUUUCUCAUCACCCCCCCAUCCCCCUCCCCUCGCCGCUUCGCAACGUUUUAUUCAUUCACUCCCUCGCCCACCGCCCGUCUGUGGUUGGAGCCCCUACUGUGUGCCCCGUAAGCACUGGGAAAUGUCGCCGCGAAAGAAAGAAUAAAGACACAGGAACACUCCUGCCCCUCCUGAACUUACGUUCCAGUAGGGAAAGCAGAUAAACAAGAUCCCUAAAAUGAGUAAAGAGCAGACAGCAAAAGAAAAUUUAAAAAUAGGGAAAAGGAAUGGGACGUGUGGGUUGAUGGAGACCUGGAGGGGGGCGGGGGGUGAGCCGGGC
RNAcentral lists this long non-coding RNA (1515 nucleotides) under Oryctolagus cuniculus (rabbit). Its description in RNAcentral is "lncRNA (ENSOCUG00000034114.1)". The record is from RNAcentral. Lineage: Eukaryota; Metazoa; Chordata; Mammalia; Lagomorpha; Leporidae.